GGAYUCCCCUAGUAACUGCGAGUGAAGCGGGAAAAGCUCAAAUUUAAAAUCUGAGGGUCCUUGCGGCCUUCCGAGUUGUAAUCUAGAGAAGUGCUAUCCGCGCUGGACCGUGUACAAGUCUCCUGGAACGGAGCGUCAUAGAGGGUGAGAAUCCCGUCUUUGACACGGACUACCAGGGCUUAUGUGAUGCGCUCUCAAAGAGUCGAGUUGUUUGGGAAUGCAGCUCUAAAUGGGUGGUAAAUUCCAUCUAAAGCUAAAUAUUGGCGAGAGACCGAUAGCGAACAAGUACCGUGAGGGAAAGAUGAAAAGAACUUUGGAAAGAGAGUUAAACAGUACGUGAAAUUGUUGAAAGGGAAACGCUUGAAGUCAGUCGCGUUGGCCAGGAAUCAACCUUGCUUUUGCUUGGCGUACUUUCUGGUUAACGGGUCAGCAUCAAUUUUGAUCGGUGGAUAAAGGUCAGGGGAAUGUGGCAUCUUCGGAUGUGUUAUAGCCUCUGRUUGCAUACAUCGGUUGGGAUUGAGGAACUCAGCACGCCGCAAGGCCGGGUUUUUAACCACGUACGUGCUUAGGAUGCUGG
Molecule: ribosomal RNA, 577 nt
Filed under: Tricholoma vaccinum
Lineage: Eukaryota; Fungi; Basidiomycota; Agaricomycetes; Agaricales; Tricholomataceae
Description: eukaryotic LSU rRNA
Rfam family: Eukaryotic large subunit ribosomal RNA
Source: RNAcentral